UGACAGUUGAAAAAACAAAAUACCAACAAGAAGAAAAUAGACGACCUACCGUGGUAUAAGGUGGUGACAGUGUAGACUAGCAAGAAGGGGUGGUUGAAAUUUCCUUUCUCUCGGCGUAGGGGCAAAUUUGAUUCUGUUUCUUGUAUCAACUUUGUCUUUGAAUUUGUAUCCUCUGGCUCAGAGUUAUGCAAUUAAGAUCUGAUUUUAUGGUUGCUGAAGGUUUUAUUGGGCGUACUAAGAAUGCUCAUCACACGCACAUAUGCAAU
Molecule: long non-coding RNA, 266 nt
Filed under: Populus trichocarpa (black cottonwood)
Lineage: Eukaryota; Viridiplantae; Streptophyta; Magnoliopsida; Malpighiales; Salicaceae
Description: long non-coding RNA (PTRI_LNC004273)
Source: RNAcentral